Molecule: long non-coding RNA, 9663 nt
Organism: Bombina bombina (fire-bellied toad)
Lineage: Eukaryota; Metazoa; Chordata; Amphibia; Anura; Bombinatoridae
Exons: 4
Source: RefSeq, a predicted model, not a curated record
CAGGCACAGCUCAUUAGCAUAUUUUGUCUGCCGGGGGUGGGAGUGCCUGCAGCAUGUCAGUGAGAGAUACUUCAGUGUACCCUAUAGCCCCUUUCCUAUUGCUGCUGGAGUUAUGCAGUGUAGAUUCUAUUUCCUCUUAUCUGCAGUUACAUGUACUGUGGUAAGGGGAAAGGACAGACAGCUUCAGGCAGACAAGCAGAGCGCAGGCUCUGUUAACAGGAGGGAAUGCUGAUCUGUAAGCAGGAGGCUGAAGCUGUGGGUGUAGCCAGUUCCCGUUUCACUCCUGGACCAUCUGCAGCAACAAGUCAGGAAGUUACUACAAGGUCCUGUGUGUGCAGAACUCCACACUACCACACCAUUUCCAUCCUUUUGUCAUUUUGCCAAGUUUCGCUGCUCUACUCGCAAGUAUUAUCUCAAGCGAGUUUGGUGUACCCAACCUGUAAAGGACACUGUCGCAUAUUCUAACAUAGAACCUGUUGGAAAGUCAGGUGUGGCCUUUACAGAUUUAUCUGCCACUCAGACCACCGAGCCCACUGGCCCUUUUGUACCAUCCUCUGAGCCUGCAACAACAACUGUAGGUGCUAAGGAGGGCCUAGCCACCAAAAACAGACGAUCUGUUAAAGACUUUAAGUUGAGAUCAGAAGCCUCUUCAUGGGAGCAAUCAGAACAGUACCAACCUCCCUAAAACCAAAUCCAUCUCCAGGUCUGUGGAAAACAAACAGCAGUGGAUAAAUAAGAUUAGAAGUGAUAUUGCUUCCUCGCUAAAUUCCAAACUGACUAAGCCCAAGGCAGAUAGAAAAAGCUCAGAGACUAAAAGUCCAUUGCGCAAGAUCAUUAACAAACUAAAUUCCAAACUGACUACGCACAAGGCAGAUAGAAAGAGCCCAGAGAGUACCAGUCCAAUGCGCAAGAUCAUUAACAAACUAAAUUCCAAACUGACUACGCACAAGGCAGAUAGAAAGAGCCCAGAGAGCACAAGUCCAAUGCGCACGAUCAUUAACAAACUAAAAGCAAGUGCAGGGAAAAAAGGCAAAGGUCCAACCACAUAUGCUGCAGCCCCAAGAACUAAGACCAGUGUCUAUGGGGAAGAAUCUACGUAUGUUGCAGAAUCAGUCCACUGACUGCAAUCUAAUUGCUUGGAGAAGGCUAGAUGACAACAAGAUUGUCAUUAUAAUCUAAUUGUCAUCUAGCCUUCUCCUGUGGUCUCAUUGUCAUCUAGCCUAUUGUUGCAGUCUAAUUGUAAUCUAAUUGUUAUCUACCUUCUCCUGCUGUCUCAUUGUCAUCUAUUCUUCUCAUUUGGUCUCAUUGUCAUCUAGCCUUUUCCUGUGGUCUAAUUUUUAUCUAAUUGUCAUCUAACGUUCUGUGGUCUUAUAGUCAUCUAGCCUUCUCCUGCAGCCUCAAUUUCAUCUAAUUGUUAUCUAGCUUUCUCCUGCAAGCUCAUUGUUAUCUAGCCUUCUCCUGCAGUUUCAAUGUCAUCUAUGUUUCUCCUGCAGUCUCUUUGUCAUCUAAUUGUUAUCUAGCCUUAUCCUGCAGCCUCAUUGUCAUCUAAUUGUUAUCUAGCCUUAUCCUGCAAGCUUAUUGUUAUCUAGCCUUUUUAUGCAGUCUCACUGUAAUCAACCCUUCUGCAGUCUCAUUGCCAUCUAGCCAUCUCCUGCAGCCUUAUUGCCAUCUAGCCAUCUCCUGCAGUCAGUCUUAUUGCCAUCUAGCCAUCUCCUGCAGCCUUAUUGCCAUCUAGCCAUCUCCUGCAGCCUUAUUGCCAUCUAGUCAUCUCCUGCAGCCUUAUUGCCAUCUAGCCAUCUCCUGCAGCCUUAUUGCCAUCUAGCCAUCUCCUGCAGCCUUAUUGCCAUCUAGCCAUCUCCUGCAGCCUUAUUGCCAUCUCCUGCAGCCUUAUUGCCAUCCAGCCAUCUCCUGCAGCCUUAUUGCCAUCUAGCCAUCUCCUGCAGCCUUAUUGCCAUCUCCUGCAGCCUUAUUGCCAUCUCCUGCAGCCUUAUUGCCAUCUAGCCAUCACCUGCAGCCUUAUUGCCAUCUCCUGCAGCCUUAUCGCCAUCUAGCCAUGUCCUGCAGCCUUAUCGCCAUCUAGCCAUCUCCUGCAGCCUUAUUGCCAUCUAGCCAUCUCCUGCAGCCUUAUCGCCAUCUAGCCAUCUCCUGCAGCCUUAUAGCCAUCUAGCCAUCUCCUGCAGCCUUAUCGCCAUCUAGCCAUCUCCUGCAGCCUUAUCGCCAUCUAGCCAUCUCCUGCAGCCUUAUCGCCAUCUAGCCAUCUCCUGCAGCCUUAUUGCCAUCUAGCCAUCUCCUGCAGCCUUAUCGCCAUCUAGCCAUCUCCUGCAAGCCUUAUUGUCAUCUAGCCAUCUCCUGCAGCCUUAUUGCCAUCUAGCCAUCUCCUGCAGCCUUAUUGCCAUCUAGCCAUCUCCAGCAGCUUUAUUGCCAUCUAGCCAUCGCCUGCAGCCUUAUUGCCAUCUAGCCAUCUCCUGCAUCCUUAUUGCCAUCUAGCCAUCUCCUGCAGCCUUAUUGCCAUCUAGCCAUCUCCUGCAGCCUUAUUGCCAUCUAGCCAUCUCCUACAGCCUUAUUGCCAUCUAGCCAUCUCCUGCAGCCUUAUUGCCAUCUAGCCAUCUCCUGCAGCCUUAUUGCCAUCUAGCCAUCUCCUGCAGCUUUAUUGCCAUCUAGCCAUCUUCUGCAGCCUUACUGCCAUCUCCUGCAGCCUUAUUGUCAUCUAGCCAUCUCCUGCAGCCUUAUUGCCAUCUCCUGCAGCCUUAUUGUCAACUAGCCAUCUCCUGCAGCCUUAUUGUCAUCUAGCCAUCUCCUGCAGCCUUACUGCCAUCUCCUGCAGCCUUAUUGUCAUCUAGCCAUCUCCUGCAGCUUUAUUGCCAUCUCCUGCAGCCUUAUUGUCUUCUAGCCAUCUCCUGCAGCCUAAUUGCCAUCUAGCCAUCUCCUACAGCCUUAUUGCCAUCUAGCCAUCUCCUGCAGCCUUAUUGCCAUCUAGCCAUCUCCUGCAGCCUUAUUGCCAUCUAGCCAUCUCCUACAGCCUUAUUGCCAUCUAGCCAUCUCCUGCAGCCUUAUUGCCAUCUAGCCAUCUCCUGCAGCCUUAUUGCCAUCUGGCCAUCUCCUGCAGCCUUAUUGUCAUCUAGCCAUCUCCUGCAGCCUUAUUGUCAUCUAGCCAUCUCCUGCAGCCUUAUUGCCAUCUACCCAUCUCCUGCAGCCUUAUUGCCAUCUAGCCAUCUUCUGCAGCCUUAUUGCCAUCUAGCCAUCUCCUACAGCCUUAUUGCCAUCUAGUCAUCUCCUACAGCCUUAUUGUCAUCUAGCCAUCUCCUGCAGCCUUAUUGCCAUCUCCUGCAGCCUUAUUGCCAUCUCCUGCAGCCGUAUUGCCAUCUAGCCAUCUCCUGCAGCCUUAUUGCCAUCUAGCCAUCUCCUGCAGCCUUAUUGCCAUCUCCUGCAGCCUUAUUGCCAUCUAGCCAUCUCCUGCAGCCUUAUUGCCAUCUAGCCAUCUCCUGCAGCUUUAUUGCCAUCUCCUGCAGCCUUAUUGCCAUCUAGCCAUCUCCUGCAGCCUUAUUGCCAUCUAGCCAUCUCCUGCAGCCUUAUUGUCAUCUAGCCAUCUCCUGCCUUAUUGCCAUCUAGCCAUCUCCUGCAGCCUUAUUGCCAUCUAGCCAUCUCCUGCAGCCUUAUUGCCAUCUCCUGCAGCCUUAUUGCCAUCUAGCCAUCUCCUGCAGCCUUAUUGCCAUCUCCUGCAGCCUUAUUGCCAUCUAGCCAUCUCCUGCAGCCUUAUUGCCAUCUAACCAUCUCCUGCAGCCUUAUUGCCAUCUAGCCAUCUCCUGCAGCCUUAUUGCCAUCUAGCCAUCUCCUGCAGCCUUAUUGCCAUCUCCUACAGUCUUAUUGCCAUCUAGCCAUCUCCUGCAGCCGUAUUGCCAUCUCCUGCAGCCUUAUUGCCAUCUAGCCAUCUCCUGCAGCCUUAUUGCCAUCUAGCCAUCUCCUGCAGCCUUAUUGCCAUCUAGCCAUCUCCUGCAGCCUUAUUGCCAUCUAGCCAUCUCCUACAGCCUUCUUGCCAUCUAGCCAUCUCCUACAGCCUUAUUGCCAUCUAGCCAUCUCCUGCUGCCUUAUUGCCAUCUCCUGCAGCCUUAUUGCCAUCUAGCCAUCUCCUGCAGCCUUAUUGCCAUCUAGCCAUCUCCUGCAGCCUUAUUGCCAUCUAGCCAUCUCCUGCAUCCUUAUUGCCAUCUCCUGCAGCCUUAUUGCCAUCUAGCCAUCUCCUGCAGCCUUAUUGCCAUCUAGCCAUCUCCUGCAGCCUUAUUGCCAUCUCCUACAGUCUUAUUGCCAUCUAGCCAUCUCCUGCAGCCUUAUCGCCAUCUAGCCAUCUCCUGCAGCCUUAUCGCCAUCUAGCCAUCUCCUGCAGUCUUAUCGCCAUCUAGCCAUCUCCUGCAGCCUUAUCGCCAUCUAGCCAUCUCCUGCAAGCCUUAUUGUCAUCUAGCCAUCUUCUGCAGCCUUAUUGCCAUCUAGCCAUCUCCUGCAGCCUUAUUGCCAUCUAGCCAUCUCCAGCAGCUUUAUUACCAUCUAGCCAUCGCCUGCAGCCUUAUUGCCAUCUAGCCAUCUCCUGCAUCCUUAUUGCCAUCUAGCCAUCUCCUGCAGCCUUAUUGCCAUCUAGCCAUCUCCUGCAGCCUUAUUGCCAUCUAGCCAUCUCCUACAGCCUUAUUGCCAUCUAGCCAUCUCCUGCAGCCUUAUUGCCAUCUAGCCAUCUCCUGCAGCCUUAUUGCCAUCUCCUGCAGCCUUAUUGCCAUCUAGCCAUCUCCUGCAGCUUUAUUGCCAUCUAGCCAUCUUCUGCAGCCUUACUGCCAUCUCCUGCAGCCUUAUUGUCAUCUAGCCAUCUCCUGCAGCCUUAUUGCCAUCUCCUGCAGCCUUAUUGUCAUCUAGCCAUCUCCUGCAGCCUUAUUGUCAUCUGGCCAUCUCCUGCAGCCUUACUGCCAUCUCCUGCAGCCUUAUUGUCAUCUAGCCAUCUCCUGCAGCUUUAUUGCCAUCUCCUGCAGCCUUAUUGUCUUCUAGCCAUCUCCUGCAACCUUAUUGCCAUCUCCUGCAGCCUUAUUACCAUCUAGCCAUCUCCUGCAGCCUUAUUGCCAUCUAGCCAUCUCCUACAGCCUUAUUGCCAUCUAGCCAUCUCCUGCAGCCUUAUUGCCAUCUAGCCAUCUCCUGCAGCCUUAUUGCCAUCUAGCCAUCUCCUACAGCCUUAUUGCCAUCUAGCCAUCUCCUGCAGCCUUAUUGCCAUCUAGCCAUCUCCUGCAGCCUUAUUGCCAUCUGGCCAUCUCCUGCAGCCUUAUUGUCAUCUAGCCAUCUCCUGCAGCCUUAUUGUCAUCUAGCCAUCUCCUGCAGCCUUAUUGCCAUCUAGCCAUCUCCUGCAGCCUUAUUGCCAUCUAGCCAUCUCCUGCAUCCUUAUUGCCAUCUCCUGCAGCCUUAUUGCCAUCUAACCAUCUCCUGCAGCCUUAUUGCCAUCUAGCCAUCUCCUGCAGCCUUAUUGCCAUCUAGCCAUCUCCUGCAGCCUUAUUGCCAUCUAGCCAUCUCCUGCAGCCUUAUUGCCAUCUAGCCAUCUCCUGCAGCCUUAUUGCCAUCUCCUACAGUCUUAUUGCCAUCUAGCCAUCUCCUGCAGCCUUAUAGCCAUCUAGCCAUCUCCUGCAGCCUUAUCGCCAUCUAGCCAUCUCCUGCAGCCUUAUCGCCAUCUAGCCAUCUCCUGCAGCCUUAUCGCCAUCUAGCCAUCUCCUGCAGUCUUAUUGCCAUCUAGCCAUCUCCUGCAGCCUUAUCGCCAUCUAGCCAUCUCCUGCAAGCCUUAUUGUCAUCUAGCCAUCUUCUGCAGCCUUAUUGCCAUCUAGCCAUCUCCUGCAGCCUUAUUGCCAUCUAGCCAUCUCCAGCAGCUUUAUUGCCAUCUAGCCAUCGCCUGCAGCCUUAUUGCCAUCUAGCCAUCUCCUGCAGCCUUAUUGCCAUCUAGCCAUCUCCUGCAGCCUUAUUGCCAUCUAGCCAUCUCCUGCAGCCUUAUUGCCAUCUAGCCAUCUCCUACAGCCUUAUUGCCAUCUAGCCAUCUCCUGCAGCCUUAUUGCCAUCUAGCCAUCUCCUGCAGCCUUAUUGCCAUCUCCUGCAGCCUUAUUGCCAUCUAGCCAUCUCCUGCAGCUUUAUUGCCAUCUAGCCAUCUUCUGCAGCCUUACUGCCAUCUCCUGCAGCCUUAUUGUCAUCUAGCCAUCUCCUGCAGCCUUAUUGCCAUCUCCUGCAGCCUUAUUGUCAUCUAGCCAUCUCCUGCAGCCUUAUUGUCAUCUGGCCAUCUCCUGCAGCCUUACUGCCAUCUCCUGCAGCCUUAUUUUCAUCUAGCCAUCUCCUGCAGCUUUAUUGCCAUCUCCUGCAGCCUUAUUGUCUUCUAGCCAUCUCCUGCAACCUUAUUGCCAUCUCCUGCAGCCUUAUUACCAUCUAGCCAUCUCCUGCAGCCUUAUUGCCAUCUAGCCAUCUCCUACAGCCUUAUUGCCAUCUAGCCAUCUCCUGCAGCCUUAUUGCCAUCUAGCCAUCUCCUGCAGCCUUAUUGCCAUCUAGCCAUCUCCUACAGCCUUAUUGCCAUCUAGCCAUCUCCUGCAGCCUUAUUGCCAUCUAGCCAUCUCCUGCAGCCUUAUUGCCAUCUGGCCAUCUCCUGCAGCCUUAUUGUCAUCUAGCCAUCUCCUGCAGCCUUAUUGUCAUCUAGCCAUCUCCUGCAGCCUUAUUGCCAUCUACCCAUCUCCUGCAGCCUUAUUGCCAUCUAGCCAUCUUCUGCAGCCUUAUUGCCAUCUAGCCAUCUCCUACAGCCUUAUUGCCAUCUAGCCAUCUCCUACAGCCUUAUUGUCAUCUAGCCAUCUCCUGCAGCCGUAUUGCCAUCUCCUGCAGCCUUAUUGCCAUCUCCUGCAGCCUUAUUGCCAUCUAGCCAUCUCCUGCAGCCUUAUUGCCAUCUCCUGCAGCCUUAUUGCCAUCUAGCCAUCUCCUGCAGCCUUAUUGCCAUCUAGCCAUCUCCUGCAGCCUUAUUGCCAUCUCCUGCAGCCUUAUUGCCAUCUAGCCAUCUCCUGCAGCCUUAUUGCCAUCUAGCCAUCUCCUGCAGCCUUAUUGUCAUCUAGCCAUAUCCUGCCUUAUUGUCAUCUAGCCAUCUCCUGCAGCCUUAUUGCCAUCUCCUGCAGCCUUAUUGCCAUCUAGCCAUCUCCUGCAGCCUUAUUGCCAUCUCCUGCAGCCUUAUUGCCAUCUCCUGCAGCCUUAUUGCCAUCUAGCCAUCUCCUGCAGCCUUAUUGCCAUCUAGCCAUCUCCUGCAGCCUUAUUGCCAUCUAGCCAUCUCCUGCAUCCUUAUUGCCAUCUCCUGCAGCCUUAUUGCCAUCUAACCAUCUCCUGCAGCCUUAUUGCCAUCUAGCCAUCUCCUGCAGCCUUAUUGCCAUCUAGCCAUCUCCUGCAGCCUUAUUGCCAUCUCCUACAGUCUUAUUGCCAUCUAGCCAUCUCCUGCAGCCGUAUUGCCAUCUCCUGCAGCCUUAUUGCCAUCUAGCCAUCUCCUGCAGCCUUAUUGCCAUCUAGCCAUCUCCUGCAGCCUUAUUGCCAUCUAGCCAUCUCCUGCAGCCUUAUUGCCAUCUAGCCAUCUCCUACAGCCUUCUUGCCAUCUAGCCAUCUCCUACAGCCUUAUUGCCAUCUAGCCAUCUCCUGCUGCCUUAUUGCCAUCUCCUGCAGCCUUAUUGCCAUCUAGCCAUCUCCUGCAGCCUUAUUGCCAUCUAGCCAUCUCCUGCAGCCUUAUUGCCAUCUCCUGCAGCCUUAUUGCCAUCUAGCCAUCUCCUGCAGCCUUAUUGCCAUCCCAUGCAGCCUUAUUGCCAUCUAGCCAACUCCUGCAGCCUUAUCGCCAUCUAGCCAUCUCCUGCAGCCUUAUCGCCAUCUAGCCAUCUCCUGCAGCCUUAUCGCCAUCUAGCCAUCUCCUGCAGCCUUAUCGCCAUUUAGCCAUCUCCUGCAGCCUUAUUGCCAUCUAGCCAUCUCCUACAGCCUUAUUGCCAUCUAGUCAUCUCCUGCAGCCUUAUUGCCAUCUAGUCAUCUCCUACAGCCUUAUUGCCAUCUAGCCAUCUCCUGCAGCCUUAUUGCCAUCUAGCCAUCUCCUGCAGCCGUAUUGCCACCUAGCCAUCUCCUGCAGCCUUAUAGCCAUCUAGUCAUCUCAUCUUUAAUGCCAUCUAGCCAUCUCCUGCAGCCUUAUUGCCAUCUAGUCAUGUCCUACAGCCUUAUUGCCAUCUAGCCUUCUCCUGCAGUCUCACUGUCACCUAGUCUUCUCCUGCUGUCUCACUGUCAUCUGUCCUUCUCCUGCUGUCUCACUGUCAUCUGUCCUUCUCCUGCUGUCUCACUGUCAUCUGUCCUUGUCCUGCUGUCUCACUAUCAUCUGUCCUUCUCCUGCAGUCUCACUGUCACCUAGUCUUUUCCUGCUGUCUCACUAUCAUCUGUCCUUCUCCUGCAGUCUCACUGUCACCUAGUCUUCUCCUGCUGUCUCACUGUCAUCUGUCCUUCUCCUGCAGUCUCACUAUUAUAUAGCCUUCUCCUGCAGUCUCACUGUCACCUAGCCUGCUCCUGCUGUCUCAAUGUCAUCUGUCCUUCUCCUGCUGUCUCAAUGUCACCGGUCCUUCUCCUGCAGUCUCACUGUCAUCUGUCCUUCUGUGGUCUGUAUGAUUACCUUGUACUCUCUUUGAUAUCGGUAGUACUCUCUGUGAUAUCGGUAUUACAGUCUCUCUCUUGUUUCCCCUCUUGCAGUCUCACUGUCUACACCCUCUAUCAAUAUUGUGUUUGCUCUCUGUAAGUCUAUUUCAGUGCUCACUUUAACCCAGUGUCAACAAUAAGGCAUUAAUGAUUAUUGCAAUAAGAACCAAAUAAGGAGCCACAGAAAAGCAUUAUCUUUAUAGAAACCCUAACAAAAAAAAAGAUUGAGGGAAGUGGCUAUACAAACUAUAAAUUAUAACAUAGUACAAUACCAUGAUAUAAUAUUGGUUUAACGGCCCAACAAAAAUGCAUCGAUUGCCAAAACUGUAGUUACACAUAUGGGAUAUGUAAUGGUUGGAUUAAUUAUUAAUAAUAACUAUGUGGUGCCUUUUGCUACAUCCGUCCCAUAUUUGACAGUGCCAGUUUGAAAGUCCUACUACACUGUACAUACUUCUGCGCUCCCUACCCUAUAAAAAUCCUCUUUUUAUAAAGGCUUCUGUGAUGAAAAUCUAGAGGAAACCAAAGAAAAAUUAGCCUACAACAUUAAUACUUGUACACAAGACGUUAUCAGACAAGAUAAAGCCUUAUAUAUGUUAAACAAAAAAUAACAAAACAAAGUCUGCUUAUAAAAAUAAAACAAAGCUCUCAGCAUUCUGCAAAUGGUAUCCAAACGUUUCCUGAUACAAACCCAAGAAGACAACAAUGCGACUAUAGAUCAGACGUGUCCCAGAUCCACUCUGUUCUGAUUAGGGUCCAUAUUGUUGUCCAGGAAAGAUUUGAAUAAAACUCUGAUGAAGAGCAGACACACUUAUGGACAGCACCUCUACUGUCACCCUGAAGCCUAAAGUUAAUCCGUCCGAACUGACUAAAGUCUCUAAGAAGACAAAACAACCUGCACAGUUUAUGUACAAGAGAAAUAUCUGAGAAAGGCACAAAUAAUGUUUUUAUAAAUAAAGUUUUGUCUUCCAAAUUACAAAA